GGGACACCAUAGUCACCAGAACAACUACAGCUUCUUGGAUUUGUUCUGGUGAGUAGAAUCAUUACCUUCAGGCUUUUUGCUGUAAACACUGUCUUUUCAAAGAAAAUGCAGUGUUUACAUUACAGCCUAGUGAUAACUUCACUGGCCACUCCUCAGAUAGCUGUUAGAGAUCCUUCCUGGGUCGUGGCUGCCUAAAAUGCAUCCAAACAUUCAGUGUCUCCUCCCUCUGCGUGCAGACACUGAACUUUCCUCAUAGAGAUGCAUUGAUUCAAUUCAUCACUAUGAGGAGAUGCUGAGUGGCCAG
This 304-nucleotide long non-coding RNA is filed under the name Pelobates cultripes (western spadefoot toad). Lineage: Eukaryota; Metazoa; Chordata; Amphibia; Anura; Pelobatidae. The record is from RNAcentral.